UUUGAUUCUGGCUCGGGUCGUUUGGCGGGAUGCUUUACACAUGCAAGUCGAACGGCAGCACGGACUUCGGUCUGGUGGCUGGCGAACAGGUGAGUAAUGUAUCAGGAACGUGCCUAGUAGCGGGGAUAACUACGCGAAAGCGUAGCUAAUACCGCAUACGCCCUUCUCGAAAGGGGAAAGCGGGGGGACCUUCGGGCCUCGCACUAUUAGAGCGGCCGAUAUCGGAUUAGCUAGUUGGUGGGGUAACGGCUCACCAGAGGCGACGAUCCGUAGCUGGUUUUGAGAGGACGACCAGCCACACUGGGACUAUGAGACACGGCCCAGACUCCUACGAAGGAGGCAGCAGUGGGGAAUUUUGGAUAAUGGAAGCCACGGUCAGCCAUCGCGUGGUAAUGCGAUGAAGGCCUUCGGGUUGUAAGGCACUUUUGGCAGGAAAGAAACGGCACGGGAUAAUACCCCGUUACAGCGGCGAACACCCCAGAAUAGCGCGGCUAACUACGUGCCGGCAGCCGCGGUAAUGCAGUAAGGUUUUCGAAGCAUUAAUCGGAAUUACUGGGCUGUAGCGUGCGAGCGGUUCGGAAAAGAAGAUGUGAAAUCCCAGAGCUUAACUUUGAAGGAACGCAUUUCCUUCACAGGCUGGUGUGUCAGAGGGAGGUGGAAUUCCGCGUGUAGCAGUGAAAUGCGUAGAUAUGCGGAGGAACACCGAUGGCGAGCGGGAUAACACUGACGCUCAUGCACAGCGUGAGGGGAGCAAACAGAGUUAGAUACCCUGGUAGUCCACGCCCUAAACGUGUCAACUAACUGUUGGGGCCUUCGGUGGUAGCUCAUGCUUGCGUGAAGUUGACCGCCUGGGAUACGGUGCAGGGCAAAACUCAAAGGAAUUGACGGGGACCCGCACAAGCGGUGGAUGAUGGAUUCUAAUUCGUUGCAACUGCGAAAAACCUUACCUACCCUUGACAUGUCUGAUCCCGAAGAGAUUUGGGAGUGCUCAUAAGGAACCAGGAACUGGAGUGCUGCGGCUGCAUCGUCAGCUCCUGCGUGUCGUGAGAUGUUGGGUUAAGUCCGCAACGAGCGCAACCCUUGUCAUUAGUUGCUACGAGGGCACUCUAAUGGAACUGCCGGUGACAAACCGGAGGAAGGUGAGGAUGACGUCAAGUCCUCAUGGCCCUUAUGGGUGAGGGCUUCACACGUCAUACAAUGGUCGGGACAGAGGGUCGCCAAGCUGCGGGGGGGCGUCCCAGAAACCCGAUCAAUGAGGUCUGGAUCGCAGUCUGCAACUCGACUGCGUGAGGUGAAUCGCUAGUAAUCGCGGAUCAGCAUGUCGCGGUGAAUACGUUCCCGGGUCUUGUACACACCGCCCGUCACACCAUGGGAGUGGGUUUUGCAAGUAGUUAGCCUAACCGUAAGGAGGGCGAUUACCACGGUAAGUUUGCUGGCCCCGAGGAACGAAGUCGUAACAAGGUAA
RNAcentral lists this ribosomal RNA (1465 nucleotides) under uncultured Bordetella sp. RNAcentral describes it as "partial 16S-23S ribosomal RNA intergenic spacer". It matches the Rfam family "Bacterial small subunit ribosomal RNA". The record is from RNAcentral. Lineage: Bacteria; Pseudomonadati; Pseudomonadota; Betaproteobacteria; Burkholderiales; Alcaligenaceae.